GGCUCCCAGGCUCCCGAAGACCUCCGGAUCCCGGUUUUUGGGGGGUUUUGUGGGGUGUCCUUUGGAUGGCAUGGCUAUUUCUUUCCCCUUCACGCCCCCAGCCCGAUUUCCAGCCUCGGUUCCAUCCCUCUGGGCAACUUGGGCGAGCGGAUCCUGGGUUCGAGUCCUGCGCCAAAGGGCUCCAGGUCGAGGCGACACUGGCAACCUCAAGGAUGUAGGCCGGAAAGAGGAAGAAUACUAGAAGUGAACAAUUGGCUUCUUGGACCAUGGUCUGCACUUUCAUGAAGAAGGACUUCUUGCAAGAGAUGUGUUACACCUUACAGCAGUUGGAAACAAGUUGGUAAAGUGAGUCUCCGUCUCUCCAGAUGGUUUCCGCACUUCUUCUCCAUGGCUGGAAAUCAUGGCUAUGGGAUCCUCAGAAGAAAGGUUUAGCCUCAAGGAAGGUAAUUGUCAUGUGUUCCUUCCCUUUUCACCCUGCUCCCAAAACUCCACAAAUACUACUCUCUAAAAGCCCUACUGUCCCUUAAUCAACAGGCAGGAACUGCCCCUUCAUUCUGUUUGCUUCUUUUGUGUAUCUAUAUUAAGCCAUCAAAAGAAAUAACCUCCUAGCAAAUCUUAGCCUUUCAUGCCUUCACAGACUUCUGCCUUCUUUGGAUUAUGAACAAACUUGCAUGUAUACAAGGAGAUUCCUUAAACUGAAGGCUUUUGAGAUCUGCAGUGCUAGAUGAUGGGCAAAAUACAGUCAGUGGGCUUCCCCUCUCUCCCUUCCAUCACAUCAUUGCUGUUCACAACUCCCUCUGUAACUUUGAUCUGUCGUCCGGACUCAGUGCCCAGUCCACACAACAGCCCAGAGGAAAAAUGCAAGGCAAGUGACAGAUGUGUCCUCAUUUCCUCAGUGUUUUCACUUUUCACUAAUUUGGAGAGCCAAAGACACUACCAACAACAAUAGUAGCUCUAAGGAUUUCCUCUGGGAGUCAAGAACAGACCUCCUGAAAAGGUGUGGGCUUUGGCAAGUAUGUAACCAUGAUGCCCAUCCCUGGCUAUCACAUACACACAAUAAAAUAAUAGACUAGAGCAAACGUUAAUGUUACAAAUUC
Molecule: long non-coding RNA, 1097 nt
Organism: Sceloporus undulatus (fence lizard)
Lineage: Eukaryota; Metazoa; Chordata; Lepidosauria; Squamata; Phrynosomatidae
Exons: 3
Source: RefSeq, a predicted model, not a curated record